CAGAUUCUGGUUUAUAAUCUCCUCAGCUAUCUGCUUCCCUUUUAUGGAGGGCUGAGAAAUUUCUGGAGGUCCCCAUUUUCCAUGAUUGACUCUGAUGACUUCUCCAUGGGAAAGCAUGCCCCUGCAUCCAGGUACUGAUUUCAAUAGCAUGUAAUUUUAAGAAAUACAUCCUCCCAUAACACAGAUGGAAUUGCUUGUCAGCUCCAGGAGUGGGGAGAGAAGAAGGGAAGGAGAUAAUAUGGAUCAUAU
RNAcentral lists this long non-coding RNA (249 nucleotides) under Monodelphis domestica (gray short-tailed opossum). RNAcentral's name for it is "lncRNA (ENSMODG00000043059.1)". Lineage: Eukaryota; Metazoa; Chordata; Mammalia; Didelphimorphia; Didelphidae. The record is from RNAcentral.